UUCAGAUUGCAGAUUUGCCAAAGCUUCAUGUAGAGCCCUUCUCUCUUUUAUCACGAGUAAAAGUUCAGGUUUAAAAUAGAACAACGGAUGACUAAUGCCAUUUCCAGCUGUGACUGAAUUCUCCACUGCCUGAUGCUUUUCAAAUGUAUCUGAAUCAGAAUCGAACACCCACUUUAUGCAUAGCUCCCUAAUCAGGAAGUUAUUCUUCCCAUCAAAGCAACUGGAAAGAAAAAAGAUAAAACAAUGAAGGGAGGAGAAAACACAAAAGUUCAAGAAGAGCAGAAUGUUCCGGCAAGGAGAAAAAGCUGGGAAAAGUCACCAAUGAAUGCCAGGGUUCACCACUAUCUUAGGAAUAUCAUGAAUAAAGCGUUAGAUUGGGUGUGCCCUAACUGAUGGUCACAAGCAUGAUACUAAUUAUCAGGGUGAACAAAGCAGGGGAGUAAGAGCAUCAGUAACUGUGAAACUCUAGGAGUUUGUCUUCAUUCUUUCAGUGAUAGGUACUGAGUGUUUCCCAUGUGUCAUACCCUAUGCCAGGUGCUGGGGAUGCAAUGGUAAAGGAACAGACCUGGCAAUAUUCCUCAUGGAGCUUGUGGUCUAGGACUGAAUGGGUCCCGUCAAUUUCAAAUAACAGCCAUGCUUGUUAUAAAUGAUGAUAGAUUUUCUACUCAAAAGAAACGAGUGUAGUUUAUUUCCACUUCUGUGGCUUCUAGAACUUUUUCCAUAAUGUAACCCUGAAGGAGAGCAUUAUAUUCAAAUUGGGGAUGAUGUUUUAAAUUAUUUUUAGCCCCAGUCCCAUCCUAUUAGUAUAAAUGGUUGAGACUGUGGUGUUUCCAUUUCCCUAGUGUAUAUUAUGUGCUUCCUGGUGACUUUCUAAGUCAAGAACUGUAAUUGCCCAGGGAGCAUGAUUACAUUCUCAGUGCUCUACUUUAACACCCUCACUUUUUCAUACAUUCAUGAAUCAAGCCUUAAGCUCCUACUAUGUGGGGCUUUAGGGGUGAUGAAAGCAUAAUUUCAUCAGCUUAAACUCUAGUGAGGAAAACAGACCUGACAUAUGCAACAAAUUAUAAUGCCAAGUAAUAAGUUCCAAAGGCCAGAUAUCUCACUGUCACUGGAGAUGUCAUCUCAUUAGAGAUGUCUCUUUCUAAAAUGCAAAUUUCACCUUCUUCAAAUUUACAACUUUCAUGAUCAAAUUCAAAUUCCUUGACAAGGAAGUCAGGAUCUAGGCUCAGCCUCACCCUGCAGCCCUGUUUUCUGCCUAUCACAUGGGCAUCUUCUGUUCCAGCUGAACACAUGACUGCAGAUACCCCUAUACCUGUCUUUCAAGUUCACGCCUCUAUCUUCUUAAACUCAGGACUCUAUGUCUAGAAUGCACAACUAACCUAAUUCUAUGCAGCCUUCAAAACUCAGAGAAAGCAUUAUUUUCUCUACAGAAUUUCUUCUCUCCACCUCUAUCCCUUACAAUCCAUGUUAGAUAUCCCGCCUCCAUGCACAGAAGCCUCUAUCCACCUAUCACAACACUUAUCUCACUGUAUUACAAUUGUUGGUCUGCUUUUCCAUCUCCUCCAAUGGAUUGACAAUAAGCACUUUGGGGUAAGAGGCUAUGUCUUACAAAUAAAUAGAUUAGUAUUAUGGGAGUACAUAUAAUUGAUAAAAAAAUGAACGGAUAAAUAUUAUAGGAGCACAGAAGAAAAAGUCAUUAUCCUGGCUGAAAAACAGCAAGAAAGGUGAUACUCUAAUAUUAUCGAAGAAGUGGUAUUUAAACUUGUCCUUGAGGGAUGAGUAGGAAUUUUCCAGAUGAAUGCACAAUUUCCUUCUCAUUUGCACAAACAAAUUAAGAUAAUGCUAAAUUAAGUAUAUUAGAAAUUUUGAUGCAUGUAGAAGACUAGGGCUAAAAUGUAGGUAAUGGUAAGUAGUACAUUUAUUUGUAAUAUACAUGGACAUAAUGUUUUGCAUGCCUGCUUAAUUAUACCAUGUUCACUAUACAAGUCAUCUUGCUUGCCCUGAAUAAACCAGUUCUAAUUUCACUUUAUUCCUGACUAUGUAAAUCCAAUUAAAUAGCUAUUCUUUCUAGGAAUACAGCUUUCAAAUUUUAAUAGGGUUAUUUAAAAAAUAAACUAAAUUUCAUGAUAACCUGUAUACUAUAUGCAUGAG
This 2151-nucleotide long non-coding RNA is filed under the name Homo sapiens (human). Its description in RNAcentral is "HSALNT0046818". The record is from RNAcentral. Lineage: Eukaryota; Metazoa; Chordata; Mammalia; Primates; Hominidae.